RNAcentral lists this ribosomal RNA (1389 nucleotides) under metagenome. RNAcentral describes it as "bacterial SSU rRNA". It matches the Rfam family "Bacterial small subunit ribosomal RNA". The record is from RNAcentral.
AGAGUUUGAUCCUGGCUCAGGAUGAACGCUGGCGGCGUGCUUAACACAUGCAAGUCGAACGCACCUUCGGGUGAGUGGCGGACGGGUGAGUAACGCGUGGGAAUCUGCCCUUAGGAGGGGGAUAACGGCUGGAAACGGCCGCUAAUACCCCAUAUGCCGAGAGGUGAAACGAAUUUCGCCUGAGGAUGAGCCCGCGUCUGAUUAGCUAGUUGGUGGGGUAAGAGCCCACCAAGGCGACGAUCAGUAGCUGGUCUGAGAGGAUGAUCAGCCACACUGGGACUGAGACACGGCCCAGACUCCUACGGGAGGCAGCAGUGGGGAAUUUUCCGCAAUGGGCGAAAGCCUGACGGAGCAACGCCGCGUGAGGGAUGAAGGCCUCUGGGCUGUAAACCCCUUUUCUCAAGGAAGAAGACAUGACGGUACUUGAGGAAUAAGCCACGGCUAAUUCCGUGCCAGCAGCCGCGGUAAUACGGGAGUGGCAAGCGUUAUCCGGAAUUAUUGGGCGUAAAGCGUCCGCAGGCGGCUCUGUAAGUCUGUUGUUAAAGCGUGGAGCUCAACUCCAUUUCAGCAAUGGAAACUACAGGGCUUGAGUGUGGUAGGGGCAGAGGGAAUUCCCGGUGUAGCGGUGAAAUGCGUAGAUAUCGGGAAGAACACCAGUGGCGAAGGCGCUCUGCUGGGCCAUAACUGACGCUCAUGGACGAAAGCCAGGGGAGCGAAAGGGAUUAGAUACCCCUGUAGUCCUGGCCGUAAACGAUGAACACUAGGUGUCGGGGGAAUCGACCCCCUCGGUGUCGUAGCCAACGCGUUAAGUGUUCCGCCUGGGGAGUACGCACGCAAGUGUGAAACUCAAAGGAAUUGACGGGGGCCCGCACAAGCGGUGGAGUAUGUGGUUUAAUUCGAUGCAACGCGAAGAACCUUACCAGGGUUUGACAUCCUGCGAAUCCCUUGGAAACUUGGGAGUGCCUUCGGGAGCGCAGAGACAGGUGGUGCAUGGCUGUCGUCAGCUCGUGUCGUGAGAUGUUGGGUUAAGUCCCGCAACGAGCGCAACCCACGUCUUUAGUUGCCAGCAUUCAGUUGGGCACUCUAGAGAGACCGCCGGUGAUAAACCGGAGGAAGGUGUGGAUGACGUCAAGUCAUCAUGCCCCUUACAUCCUGGGCUACACACGUACUACAAUGCUACGGACAGAGGGCAGCAAGCUCGCGAGAGUUAGCAAAUCCCAUAAACCGUGGCUCAGUUCAGAUCGUAGGCUGCAACUCGCCUACGUGAAGGAGGAAUCGCUAGUAAUCGCAGGUCAGCAUACUGCGGUGAAUACGUUCCCGGGCCUUGUACACACCGCCCGUCACACCAGGGAAGUUGGCCAUGCCCGAAGUCGUUACUCCAACCCUUAU